This is a long non-coding RNA of Xiphophorus couchianus (Monterrey platyfish), 607 nucleotides long. RefSeq lists it as uncharacterized. The record is from RefSeq and is a predicted model, not a curated record. NCBI's taxonomy places the organism in Eukaryota, Metazoa, Chordata, Actinopteri, Cyprinodontiformes, Poeciliidae. The transcript has 2 exons.
UAUCUGGUAUGAAAUAAAACAGUGAUUUUCACAGUCAUUAAGUUUUCCCACAACAAAUAUUUUUUUAAAAGUUGCAUUUUAUUGCAUUUCAGACAAUAAAAUGUUUAUGUAAAAUGUUUAUGUUGUUAUUUUAAAAAAGACCUGAAUCAUUUCUAACAUAACAUAACGUAUAUAAAAAAGCUUAAGUGGUUCAAUAAAAAAUCUACAGAAUGUGUUGAGUUUUUAUCUGAUUAAUCGUGUGUACCAUGUAUUUAAUACCUUGUGGGGACCAUUUUUCCUGACACAUACUACGUGGAUGGGGAGCCACUGUUCAAAGCCUGGACCCCACAAGGGGAAACGUUGCUUGUGGAUCAGCGGUUAGGUUUAAGACUAAGGUGUGAACUGAGUUUUGGUUAGGGUUAUGUAAUUUUUGUUUGUGCUGCUUUGGUAUCUGAUAUAUUAAAAUUAUUUUUUAGGUCAUUCAGAGGUCAUCCUCCCGAUCUUCCCCCAAAACAAACCAAAGUGGGUUACUUUUUUCAGUGCUCCAUUUGUGUAGUAGUGAUGUCACUAUUAGUGCUGGUGGAUGACCUAAAAAAUUAUUUUUAAUAUCUCAGAAACCAAAGCAGCA